UUCAUGUUGUUCUCUUGUGUGGUCAGACCCUCCUUUUGGUUGUUUUGUUGCCGACGACAUCAUGGAUAAAGUUUGUUUACCAGCUGUAGUUUUAGAAUCAGCAGUUUAAGCAGCUGGUUGAUGUCUCAACAUAGCCUGUAGCUUCUGACAUCUGCUUCUAAAAGGUAGUACUAGCAUCAGUACUUAUUUUAGUUGCGCUUUCUAAGGGAAAAUUUCCAUAGUACUUUGAUUAUCUUCAUCUGCGGAGUAGCCCUUUCAGCUUGUGUAACCAAAAUAUUCUAGGGAGUAGUGACCUCAAUCUGGCUGAACUGUUUAUGGAGGAUGAUGGUUGCAUCACAACAAAUUUGUUGGAUAGCUCUUGUUACACAUAAAUUCUUUCACAUUCAUAUUUUCUUUUUGCAUCUUGCUUUCCGUAUAUGCCAAUGAAUAAGAAGGGGGAUAUCCCAUCUUCUGGAUAUUAUCAUCAGUGGGUGAUAUCAUCAGUGCUAUUAUCAGUUGCAACCUCCAGCACUUAGUACCAUAUGUUCUUGCAAUUCAUGAUUCACAACUUUAGCAUUAAGAUCAGCUGGUUUUAUUAGUAGAAUCACCAACUGUAGCAGUAGGAUGAUCCAGCUUAUUAUAAGCUUGCACGACUGGCUUCUCAGCUGGGUUUUGCCGUAUUUUUGGGUUGGUUUCGGAAGGAGAAUUGUUGAAUUUUGCAGAAGCUUUGGGAAGGUGAUUUCUUUAGAUGUUUUGCUGCAUUUUUGGGCGAUAUUUGCAUCUGUUUUGCUGUGUUUUUUGGGCGAUAUUUGCAGCUGUUUUAGAUCUAGUUGUCCUGCCUUAGAAUGUAAUAUCUGUGUCAUUUUGUCCUUUGAAUAUUCUAACUGUUUCUGCUUUGCAUACUUCUUGGGUGAUUUAACUGUUUCUGCUUUGCACACUUCUUGUCCUCUGAAGUACUUUUUAAUGGCAUUUGAGAUGGGUACACUAUAAAGUUUAUGCCAUGAUUUUGGGUUCAAAUAUCAAACAUAAUUAGUUAUUUAAGCAGAACUUCCAUGGAAAAUCGAGUUAUAUGCCUUGGCAAUACUCUACUGGAUACUCUAAAGUCCCCCAUUCUUAACAAUUGUUUUGUCAUUGUUUAUAUGCCUUGGCAAUACUCUACUGGACACUCUAAAGUCCCCCAUUCUUAACAAUUGUUUUGUCAUUGUUCCCUCUUCUC
RNAcentral lists this long non-coding RNA (1195 nucleotides) under Nicotiana benthamiana. RNAcentral's name for it is "long non-coding RNA (NBEN_LNC010335)". The record is from RNAcentral. Lineage: Eukaryota; Viridiplantae; Streptophyta; Magnoliopsida; Solanales; Solanaceae.